UGGGGAAUUUUGGACAAUGGACGCAAGUCUGAUCCAGCCAUGCCGCGUGCGGGAAGAAGGCCUUCGGGUUGUAAACCGCUUUUGUCAGGGAAGAAACGAGUUUCUCUAAUACAGAGACUUAAUGACGGUACCUGAAGAAUAAGCACCGGCUAACUACGUGCCAGCAGCCGCGGUAAUACGUAGGGUGCGAGCGUUAAUCGGAAUUACUGGGCGUAAAGCGUGCGCAGGCGGUUAUGUAAGACAGAUGUGAAAUCCCCGGGCUCAACCUGGGAACUGCAUUUGUGGCUGUAUAGCUAGAGUACGGCAGAGGGGGAUGGAAUUCCGCGUGUAGCAGUGAAAUGCGUAGAUAUGCGGAGGAACACCGAUGGCGAAGGCAAUCCCCUGGGCCUGUACUGACGCUCAUGCACGAAAGCGUGGGGAGCAAACA
RNAcentral lists this ribosomal RNA (427 nucleotides) under uncultured bacterium. RNAcentral describes it as "bacterial SSU rRNA". It matches the Rfam family "Bacterial small subunit ribosomal RNA", at positions 355 to 774 of the family's 1533-position model. The record is from RNAcentral.